GUUAAGGUAAGUACAAACUGGUAGACAGAUAUAAAUCGAAAUCUAAGUAAGGUAAAGAUAUGAAGAACAAACAUAUAGCUAUGCGCAUGCGCAGUUACUAGUUGCUAUAGCUUCAGAACUGAGAGUAGUCUAAAAAUUAAAGCAGGGAAACUUCAGAGGAUACCAUGUACGCCACUACGUAUAUCAGGGAACAAAGGCUCAAAGAGGAUGAAACAGAGAAUGGUGUCAUGACCAGGAUAGCAAGUGCUGCAGCCUAGGAUUCUACUAGAGAGACUUGAGUCAAAGUAGUCUGAAAUAAGGAGGGACCAAGAGUGGCUUUUUAUUAUAGGGCUCGAAAUAUUGGUUGUCAGAGAUAACGAAAAGAACGACCCUUCUACGUGUGCACUGGGAGAGGAAAAAGAGACAGGAAGAUAUUAUGUUAUGUUAUGGCAUACAAAUGACAAAUGCUCGUGGCCAUAGCAU
This is a long non-coding RNA of Halichondria panicea, 462 nucleotides long. RefSeq lists it as uncharacterized. NCBI's taxonomy places the organism in Eukaryota, Metazoa, Porifera, Demospongiae, Suberitida, Halichondriidae. The transcript has 3 exons. The record is from RefSeq and is a predicted model, not a curated record.